UUUGUGUAUUCAUCAACUGACAUGCUGCCCUUGGUCAAUGUCAGAAACUUGUUCUCCAACUCCAACAUAUUUUGGGCUGAACAGAACUUGCACUUGAACUGCACCAAAAAUUCUGCCCACGUCAGUUGCAGUGGCUCAUUAGGGCUUAAAGUCUUACCUAGAGUGUUCCACCAUCGAACGGCUCCACCUCGGAACCGACGCACAGCAUAGAUAGUCUGCAACUUGCCUCUGCAGCCACAAGUCAUGAAGGCUAACUCCAUUUCUGAGAUCCAAUCCAUAACUCCAAUCGGAUCCUCCUUUCCAUUGAAGGUCGAUGGUUUGCAAGUUAGAAAGUCCUUGUACUUGCAUCCCAUUCCAUCAUUCCUUCCAUCAUGGUUGUUUUGCCUAACUAUCGGUGGGUUGGCUUGACUAACAGACCCACUGAAGUUUCCACCUUCCGAGUGUCCUUCAUUCAAUUCGGGCUCUUCUAUUUGAAUUCACAGUUCUUCACGAUUUUGAUGAAGCAACCGCCUAGUCUCCUCCAUUUGACGAUCCAACAUCGUUUGAAUCAUCAUUUGUACAUCAGCCAUUGUUAUCGGCUCAGGUGCUGCUGCUACGACAUGUAUUUGCUCAAUCACUGGUGGUUGAUUCCUGUUUUCAUCAGCAUUUCCAACUCCACUUCUUGUUCUCACCAUUUUUGAUCUAUACACCGAAUAAGGUGAAAUUAGAUCCUCAUUCACGAUAGAUAUUCAAAUCAUCCUUAUCNNNNNNNNUUGCACACCAGCCAUGGUUAUUGGCUCAGGUGCUGCUGCUACGACAGGUAUUUGCUCAAUCACUGGUGGUUGAUUCCUGUUUUCAUCAGCAUUUCCAACUCCACUUCUUGUUCUCACCAUUUUUGAUCUAUACACCGAAUAAGGUGAAAUUAGAUCCUCAUUCAC
RNAcentral lists this long non-coding RNA (917 nucleotides) under Lactuca sativa (garden lettuce). Its description in RNAcentral is "long non-coding RNA (LSAT_LNC000391)". Lineage: Eukaryota; Viridiplantae; Streptophyta; Magnoliopsida; Asterales; Asteraceae. The record is from RNAcentral.